Molecule: long non-coding RNA, 353 nt
Organism: Prionailurus viverrinus (fishing cat)
Lineage: Eukaryota; Metazoa; Chordata; Mammalia; Carnivora; Felidae
Exons: 4
Source: RefSeq, a predicted model, not a curated record
AUUGAAAAGCAGUGGUGAGAGAGGACAUCUCUGCCUUUUUCCUACUCUGUGUGGAUUUCCCAGAAGCCUCACCAGAUGAGUAAUGAAGGUCACUUCCAGGCAGGUGCAGGAACCUCAGGAUAUUUGGGGGACCUCAUGAAGAGGAAUAUGCCCAAUUAUACAGGUGAUCAAGGAGGUGUCUGUCCUUUGAACAACAUCAGCUGCCAUGUCUAGGUUGACAAUUUUGAGGAAGCUAAAACUCAAAAUAAGGACAAGCUGCUUGACUUCAAAAAGCUACUAACCACCAAGCAAAUUAUCCCCCUGAGACUGGAACAUCUAAGGAACAACAACAACAAAAAUUAUCAACUUAAAAA